GCGGCAACAGCUCAGAGGUAGAGCCCCCGCUUCCCUUCGGGGAGACCCGGGUUCGAUUCCCGGCUGCUUCC
This 71-nucleotide transfer RNA is filed under the name Toxocara canis (dog roundworm). It matches the Rfam family "tRNA". From Rfam's summary of the family: Transfer RNA (tRNA) molecules are approximately 80 nucleotides in length. Their secondary structure includes four short double-helical elements and three loops (D, anti-codon, and T loops). The record is from Rfam by way of RNAcentral. Lineage: Eukaryota; Metazoa; Nematoda; Chromadorea; Rhabditida; Toxocaridae.